This 932-nucleotide ribosomal RNA is filed under the name uncultured methanogenic archaeon. Its description in RNAcentral is "bacterial SSU rRNA". It matches the Rfam family "Archaeal small subunit ribosomal RNA", at positions 1 to 937 of the family's 1478-position model. Lineage: Archaea; Methanobacteriati; Methanobacteriota. The record is from RNAcentral.
UCUGGUUGAUCCCGGCAGAGGUUACUGCUAUCGGUGUUCGCCUAAGCCAUGCGAGUCAUAUGUAGCAAUACAUGGCGUACUGCUCAGUAACACGUGGAUAACCUGCCCUUGGGACCGGCAUAACCCCGGGAAACUGGGGAUAAUUCCGGAUAACGCAUAUUUGCUGGAAUGCUUUAUGCGUCAAAAGGAUUCGUCUGCCCAAGGAUGGGUCUGCGGCCUAUCAGGUAGUAGUGGGUGUAAUGUACCUACUAGCCAGCGACGGGUACGGGUUGUGAGAGCAAGAGCCCGGAGAUGGAUUCUGAGACAUGAAUCCAGGCCCUACGGGGCGCAGCAGGCGCGAAAACUUUACAAUGCGGGAAACCGUGAUAAGGGGACACCGAGUGCCAGCAUCAUAUGCUGGCUGUCCGGAUGUGUAAAAUACAUCCGUUAGCAAGGGCCGGGCAAGACCGGUGCCAGCCGCCGCGGUAACACCGGCGGCCCGAGUGGUGAUCGUGAUUAUUGGGUCUAAAGGGUCCGUAGCCGGUUUGGUCAGUCCUCCGGGAAAUCUGAUAGCUCAACUAUUAGGCUUUCGGGGGAUACUGCCAGACUUGGAACCGGGAGAGGUAAGAGGUACUACAGGGGUAGGAGUGAAAUCUUGUAAUCCCUGUGGGACCACCUGUGGCGAAGGCGUCUUACCAGAACGGGUUCGACGGUGAGGGACGAAAGCUGGGGGCACGAACCGGAUUAGAUACCCGGGUAGUCCCAGCCGUAAACGAUGCUCGCUAGGUGUCAGGCAUGGCGCGACCGUGUCUGGUGCCGUAGGGAAGCCGUGAAGCGAGCCACCUGGGAAGUACGGCCGCAAGGCUGAAACUUAAAGGAAUUGGCGGGGGAGCACAACAACGGGUGGAGCCUGCGGUUUAAUUGGACUCAACGCCGGACAACUCACCGGGGGC